AAUGCGAUCCACUCCUUCGGACGUUAAUGGCAUCAAGCUUGGGUAGAUCUCUAUUUUGGUGAAGAAGAAGGAUAGAGAAGAUAGGCUAGAUUUUUUUUGGAGAAGAGGAAAGAAGAACUAGAAGAGAAAGGAGGGAGGAGAGAGGGUUAGGGCAAAGGUAGGAGGAGGAGAAGAUUAGGACAAAGAUAGAAAGAGGAGAUGAGAAGGAUUUGGAAUGAAGAAAAAAGUGGGAGCGAAAUGAGGAAAAAAAGGAAGGAAAAAAAUAAAAAGGUCAUGUUUUUGGAGAGAGCGAUCAGGCAUCGACGAGGGAGGUUGGCGUCACUCGAUUCCGACGGUCGGAGGAGGGAGAAAGAGGAGAAGAGAGAUUAAAU
RNAcentral lists this long non-coding RNA (371 nucleotides) under Elaeis guineensis (African oil palm). RNAcentral's name for it is "long non-coding RNA (EGUI_LNC013296)". Lineage: Eukaryota; Viridiplantae; Streptophyta; Magnoliopsida; Arecales; Arecaceae. The record is from RNAcentral.